This 839-nucleotide ribosomal RNA is filed under the name uncultured eukaryote. RNAcentral describes it as "SSU rRNA". It matches the Rfam family "Eukaryotic small subunit ribosomal RNA", at positions 635 to 1426 of the family's 1831-position model. The record is from RNAcentral.
CGGUGUUCAACUGGCGUGCCCGCGGGACGUCCUGCCGGUGAGCUCAGCCCGCGAGGGCGGCUCAACUUGAAAUCCCAUCGCGGUGCUCUUCAUUGAGUGUCGAGGUGGGCCGGCACGAUUACUUUUGAACAAAUUAGAGUGCUUAAAGCAGGCUAAAAUUUUGCCUGAAUACUGUGUAUAUGGAAUAAUGGAAUAGGACCUCGGUUCUAUUUUGUUGGUUUUCGGAACCCCGAGGUAAUGAUUAAUAGGAACGGAUGGGGGCAUUCGUAUUGCGACGUUAGAGGUGAAAUUCUUGGAUCGUCGCAAGACGGACUAAAGCGAAAGCAUUUGCCAAAAACGCUUUCAUUGAUCAAGAACGAAAGUUAGAGGUUCGAAGGCGAUCAGAUACCGCCCUAGUUCUAACCAUAAACUAUGCCAGCUAGCGAUCCGCCGACGUCCCUCUGAUGACUCGGCGGGCAGCUUCCGGGAAACCAAAGCUUUUGGGUUCCGGGGGAAGUAUGGUUGCAAAGCUGAAACUUAAAGGAAUUGACGGAAGGGCACCACCAGGAGUGGAGCCUGCGGCUUAAUUUGACUCAACACGGGAAACCUCACCAGGCCCAGACACUGGAAGGAUUGACAGAUUGAGAGCUCUUUCUUGAUUCAGUGGGUGGUGGUGCAUGGCCGUUCUUAGUCGGUGGAGCGAUUUGUCAGGUUAAUUCCGAUAACGGACGAGACUCUGACCUGAUAACUAGACGCACUUGCGGCAUCUCAAAGGUCCGCCGGCGGCAGGCUUUGCGCCCGUCGUCGCGCGCGAUUUUUACUGCCGGCGUACAAUAAAUUCUUCUUAGAGGGACAAGUGG